This 449-nucleotide ribosomal RNA is filed under the name uncultured bacterium. Its description in RNAcentral is "partial 16S ribosomal RNA". It matches the Rfam family "Bacterial small subunit ribosomal RNA", at positions 29 to 523 of the family's 1533-position model. The record is from RNAcentral.
AACGAACGCUGGCGGCAGGCCUAAAACAUGCAAGUCGAACGAUCUAGCAAUAGAUAGUGGCGCACGGGUACGUAACGCGUGGGGAUAUGCCCUUCACUACGGAACAACGUCGGGAAACUGACGCUAAUACCGUAUAAUGACUCCGGUCCAAAGAUUUAUCGGUGAAGGAUUAGCCCGCGUCUGACUAGGUAGUUGGGGAGGUAAUGGCUCACAAAGCCGACGAUCACUAGCUGGUCUGAGAGGAUGAUCAGCCACACUGGGACUGAGACACGGCCCAGACUCCUACGGGAGGCAGCAGUUAGGAAUAGUGGACAAUGGGGGAAACCCUUAUCCAGCCAUGCCGCGUGGGUGAAGAAGGCCUUAGGGUUGUAAAACACUUUCGGCUGUGAAGAUAAUGACAGUAGCAGAAGAAGAAGCUCCGGCUAAAUUCGUGCCAGCCGCCGCGGUAA